Long non-coding RNA from Contarinia nasturtii (swede midge), 1032 nucleotides. RefSeq lists it as uncharacterized. The transcript has 4 exons. NCBI's taxonomy places the organism in Eukaryota, Metazoa, Arthropoda, Insecta, Diptera, Cecidomyiidae. The record is from RefSeq and is a predicted model, not a curated record.
UGAAUGGCGCUGUAUCUAUCCUAUAAACAUCGAACUAAUGAAAAUGUGUGGUGGUUCAUGUCUUAUUUAAUAUACAAUAUUGGAAAUUUAUCCAAUGCACAAACCAUUUCUUCUAGUUCCUCUUACAUUAGUGUAGGGGGAUUCUUCUAAAGUUCAGAGAAUGACGUUUGCAUAUAAAUACAUGUAAAAGACACUUUUAGGCUCGUCCUAUGCCUUAUUACCGAAACUUCAAGAGCUUGGUUACUCUAAAGGUCAAUUAUAUAAAUUUGAAGAGGGCGUUGAAUGUAUUGUUGAAGACUCUAACGAUGUAUAUUUGGGGCCAUUUAUAACUUUUAGAGCAGUAAUCAAAGAAAAUACUGUUUUUUAUGAGGUCAUCGAUCUACGGGGGAAUCUUUUAAUUUAUCCUGAAGUUCAUAAUCGACUUCCAUGCGUGCAACUUAUGCAUCAACCGCCGUAACAAAUAUAUACCCGAUGACGGAUUUUUGGUACAAAGGCAUUUGAUGAAUCAACACGGUUAUGAUGCAUUUGAUUUUCAAGAACUUGAAGGGGGACAAAAUACAGGAAUAGCCUUGGAAGUGAGUCCAAAAUCUCAUUGUAAGUGCAGUAUGUUCAUGUUCAGUCCAGACAAAAAAGCAGCAUUUGAGGCCCAAAAGAGCCACAAAAGAAGGUGGACCGAUUCGGAAGAAGAAGGACCUUCGAAAAAACGAGCUCGCAUGAUUAAAAAAAUUGUUGCUGUUGAUGUAUGCAGUACGUAUGACACUAUAGUACAGCAAAACCACCACAAGCACAUAACUCUUCAUAAUUAUGGAAUAAAAGAGCAACCGGAACAUCCUUGGAAAUGCAAUAUAUGUCUCAUGGAAUAUAUGGACGAUAAAGAAUUUGAAGAGCAUUCCAAAGAUCAUUUUUAGAAAUAUAUAAAAAAGUAGAAAAGAUAAAAAGAGAUUCUCACAUUUAGACCAAAGCAAAAAAAAAAUCAGAAUAGAUUUGAGUAAUUUUCUCUUAACGAAUAAAAUCCAAAAUACACGAAAGAAA